AUGUGUGCAUCUUUCUUUAAAUGUCAGGCUGACAUGGAAAAAGCUAUGGAACAAGGGGUACCAGAAGGUGGAGAACCAAAGAAUGUUGCUAUUGUUGUUGCUGACAUUCUCACUAAAGAAUGUCCCUCCAGCACAUUCCUUCAAAGUGUUGGCCUUGAGUCGAGCUCCAAGAAGAAGUUCAACAGAUCUGCAGCUGCUUUGGAUGCUCAUGUACAAGAACUAGAGUACAAGCUUGAGAAGGAGAGGCGAGUCGCUGAGUUGAUGCGAGAGGAGCUUGUUGAGGUCAAGAAGAAAUCAGAGGAGACCGAAGCUGCACGCGCCGCAGAGUACCAGUUGUUACUACAAAGAGUUGAGGCCACCGAUGCUAGAUUUGCGCGUCUCAUGGAUCUGUUCGAAGGUAAAAUAGUUUAG
Molecule: ribosomal RNA, 411 nt
Filed under: Triticum aestivum (bread wheat)
Lineage: Eukaryota; Viridiplantae; Streptophyta; Magnoliopsida; Poales; Poaceae
Description: partial small subunit ribosomal RNA
Source: RNAcentral